This 315-nucleotide unclassified non-coding RNA is filed under the name Hevea brasiliensis (rubber tree). The record is from RNAcentral. Lineage: Eukaryota; Viridiplantae; Streptophyta; Magnoliopsida; Malpighiales; Euphorbiaceae.
CAUUGUGAUUCUCACCAUAGUAUCUGUGCUUGUAAUUUGUUCAUGCGCAUUUCGUGAAGGGAAGCCUAAAGGAUCUCCUAAAGAAAAUGUGAAGCCAAGGACUGUGGAUGCUGUUCCAGCAGGAGGAUCUCUUCCACAUCCGACCAGUACACGGUUUCUAGCCUAUGAAGAACUUAAAGAAGCAACAAACAACUUUGAACCUGCAAGCAUACUCGGAGAGGGUGGGUUUGGUAGAGUUUUCAAGGGUGUCUUAAGUGACGGUACAGCCGUAGCAAUUAAGAGGCUUACUAGUGGUGGUCAACAAGGCGACAAAGA